UACGUAGGGGGCCAGCGUUGUCCGGAAUCACUGGGCGUAAAGCGCACGUAGGCGGCUUUUUAAGUCAGGGGUGAAAUCCUGGAGCUCAACUCCAGAACUGCCUUUGAUACUGAGAAGCUUGAGUCCGGGAGAGGUGAGUGGAACUGCGAGUGUAGAGGUGAAAUUCGUAGAUAUUCGCAAGAACACCAGUGGCGAAGGCGGCUCACUGGCCCGGUACUGACGCUGAGGUGUGAAAGCGUGGGGAGCAAACAGG
This 253-nucleotide ribosomal RNA is filed under the name uncultured bacterium. RNAcentral describes it as "partial 16S ribosomal RNA". It matches the Rfam family "Bacterial small subunit ribosomal RNA", at positions 524 to 776 of the family's 1533-position model. The record is from RNAcentral.